AUUGAACGCUGGCGGCAUGCCUUACACAUGCAAGUCGAACGGCAGCACGGGAGCAAUCCUGGUGGCGAGUGGCGAACGGGUGAGUAAUAUAUCGGAACGUGCCCAGUCGUGGGGAUAACGUAGCGAAAGCUACGCUAAUACCGCAUACGAUCUAUGGAUGAAAGCGGGGGAUCGCAAGACCUCGCGCGAUUGGAGCGGCCGAUAUCAGAUUAGGUAGUUGGUGAGGUAAAGGCUCACCAAGCCGACGAUCUGUAGCUGGUCUGAGAGGACGACCAGCCACACUGGGACUGAGACACGGCCCAGACUCCUACGGGAGGCAGCAGUGGGGAAUUUUGGACAAUGGGCGCAAGCCUGAUCCAGCAAUGCCGCGUGCAGGAUGAAGGCCUUCGGUUGUAACUGCUUUGUACGGAACGAAACGGUGA
This 422-nucleotide ribosomal RNA is filed under the name uncultured bacterium. RNAcentral's name for it is "bacterial SSU rRNA". It matches the Rfam family "Bacterial small subunit ribosomal RNA", at positions 30 to 456 of the family's 1533-position model. The record is from RNAcentral.